RNAcentral lists this ribosomal RNA (256 nucleotides) under uncultured bacterium. Its description in RNAcentral is "partial 16S ribosomal RNA". It matches the Rfam family "Bacterial small subunit ribosomal RNA", at positions 521 to 776 of the family's 1533-position model. The record is from RNAcentral.
UAAUACGGAGGGUGCGAGCGUUAUUCGGAAUUACUGGGCGUAAAGCGCGUGCAGGCGGGAAGGCAAGUCUGAUGUGAAAGCCCCGGGCUUAACCUGGGAAGUGCAUUGGAAACUGCCUUUCUUGAGUACUGGAGAGGAAGGGGGAAUUCCCGGUGUAGAGGUGAAAUUCGUAGAGAUCGGGAGGAAUAUCAGUGGCGAAGGCGCCCUUCUGGACGGAUACUGACGCUGAGACGCGAAAGCGUGGGGAGCAAACAGG